GAUUAGUGUUGGUGCUAGUAUAAAUAGGUGGGGGUGUGUGUAGAGAAGACAAAUCCUUUUUUUUCUUUCUCUCUCUCUCUCUCCACUCUCCCGGCCGGCUCUCUCUCACCUCUCCUCCAAACUUCUCUCUUUGAUUUCAUCUCCAUAGAAAGGGAUUUUGAAAAAAUCCCUAGUAUUAAAGUUGUUCUACGCGACGAGAGCUUCCUAUCCAUCCAAGAAAAUUCAUGAUCGGAGCACGUCGAAGUUUCCUCCAUGUUCGGGCAAGCUUCUAACCUUCGAGGUACUCGCCAUGACACUUAGCUUGGAUUGCAUGGAGUGCACAUUGAGACGUCUCUUGAGAGCUUCAUUGGGAUCAUUAAGGAGUUGUUUUUCAUCUAGUCUAAUUCACGCUGUGUACUUUACCCGCAAUUGAAUGUUGUACCUUUUGUUUGAACAUAUGUAAUGCUAUGUAUAAACUCCUCUCUUUAAUUAUUGUGAAGCCCUUUAAAUGGAAUACGUUUGGGAGACUUUAUGUUUUAAAAAAAAAAAUUUAGAGAGAAGAAGAAGAAGA
Molecule: long non-coding RNA, 550 nt
Organism: Rhododendron vialii
Lineage: Eukaryota; Viridiplantae; Streptophyta; Magnoliopsida; Ericales; Ericaceae
Exons: 2
Source: RefSeq, a predicted model, not a curated record